Molecule: non-coding RNA, 2184 nt
Organism: Physcomitrium patens
Lineage: Eukaryota; Viridiplantae; Streptophyta; Bryopsida; Funariales; Funariaceae
Source: RefSeq, a predicted model, not a curated record
ACUUUACUGCGUCGUUUUCUACGUUUCAUGUGCGUCGGUAUCUCCAGUACACUUGGUGUUUCCUGUUGUCGGCAGCAGUCACUACUCAAGGUUACUAGAAAGAGUUGUCGACAACGUAAAAAUGCAAAUUAAACUAAUGACCGAUUAAUCAAGUAAGGUGUACAAAAACUGAAACAAUUUAAAACGGAGGCAGAUCCGCGUUUACAUACACAUACACACACUCACACACACACACACAAUGCACGUUCAAGCUACAAAAACCCUGGAAUUGCUCGAUACACACGCAGACGAUGGGCGAGUUGAACGAUGUAAGAAGAAACGUCGCUGCUGCUGUGCGAUUGAUGAAUGGGACUCCUCGGAAGCAGCCUCAGAAGAUUAAUCGGGUGGAUGGGUGGGUGGAGCCUGGCUGCACGUUUUCAUGAGUUUUCGUGUGUGUUUCUGGGCAGGCUUCCACUGCUCCGAAGCAGAAUUAGGGUUUGGGUGGUGAGGGCCGAGGUGCUCACUGCAGCAGCCUGAUGACAACGGAGUAUCUGAGAAUCGGUGCGAGUCGACGGGACCCAUAUCGUCUUACUGAAUCCACACUGACUCCAGCAGAGACACACGUUGUAGUGGUGAUCAGUCUGCCGAUGUGUCUUCCUGUCUUUUGAGCCUUCUUACGUUCAUUCUAGCGCAGAAAUGCACACCUACACAGAAUAUGCAGUUCUUCUCUCGCAUGUGAAAUAUGCCAACGAGUGAAAUGACAUCCACGUUGACAUCAAUCUGGUGACUCUGCGUUUGAAGUGGCGCAAGGUCGAGGCGGAAAUCACAGAAAAACAGAACCGGACGUCGAUUCCCCUGCUGACUUCGUUCGUGAGGACAAACCCAGUAAGGAACGGGUCAUUCGUGUUCCUUUAACAUCAUCAUGGCUGACAGUCGACAACCCCUGAGGGAGAACUGUCACAGUCGGCAUGGUCACUUCAACAACAAUGAUUGGGAAAUUCUCAAUGCAGCUCUAUGUAAUGGGGCACUCGUCGAGCACCAGAAGCUAGCAGCUCUUAUGGCUUUGAUGCACGCUGUAGGAAUGGUGGCCAUUUUCAUAUCCAACCCCGAAGUCGCUCUGGUGGUGUAGCUCUCCAGUCACAGUGCAUCUACGGCUUCACACGCAUGCAUGCUGUUCACAAAACUUGGCGCCGAGUAGAUGGUGAUUUGAUCACAUAAGAACUUGGAUACAAAUCUGGAUGCUGAUCGCAGAUGUGCCAUAACACCGGUAAACAUCUCCCUCUCUCUCUAAGGGUAUUUGAGUCGGAAUUUUAACCCUUCUCUGGCGUUAUGGCGUUACGGUCGUAGAAACUCUGGCGUCUAUCAUUAUUGCAUCACAAAUAUCACUGCAACGACCAUGUCUGAUCAAGGUUGGAUUUAAGCAGAAGGUCAAAGGCUGUUAUCUUCCUUAGGAUUGAAGUCAUGGGUUUUAUCUUUCUCAACUCUCCACAGGUUGGUCGACAUGAGUGGGAAGUUUCUGAAUCUCUUAAGGUUCAAUGGCGCGAUUCUUUUUUAAGAUGGCUCCAAAUGUGAGGUCGGUGAAAUGCAUGCUUUUUCUGGCACUGAUGUUUCAUGACAGCAAAAGCGUCAGGAGGCCAAGCCUCUGCAGGGGAUUGACAUUCACAGGCUUCGCCAUCGUGAGGAGACAUUUCACAAUCUUAACAUAAUCUCCUCAAAUGAUUCUUACAUGAAUCUUUCUCUAUUUCACACAGGCUGGUGUCUUGUUGAGAGAUCAUUGAAAGGUGCUUUGAAUAAGCCGCACCGGUCCAAGCCGAAGGACAGACGCUCCAGCUGGAAGGAAUUGCCUUUCACGCCUAAUGAUUCAAAAGUAUGUCCGUGCAAUGCUCCUGAAGAAAAAAGUGAGGAGGAGGCUCUGCUUGUUGGGACUCUGUCCUGGAUGUGUACAAACGCAUUCUCCUGUCAGGAAAGUUAUCGCAUCUUCAUUUAUGUUUGAGAAGUCUGGUAGAAUGCACUUCAAUCUUCACGUCUCUCCACCUUUGCCGUAUGUUUUUCUCUUGGUUAAAUUCCACAUUCGGUGAGAGAAACUUCCGAUCAUUGAUUGCUCGCUGAUACUCUCCAAAUCACGCACAGAACCUAAUUCCUUGCUCAUAAACAUUGUGCAAAAAACUCCGUUAACUCAAUAGUAAAUGGUUUUGAUUCUGGCAA